AGGUUGGGGAUAGCCAUUAGAAAUAGUGGGUAAUACCGAAUAUGGUUGCGGAACUUUGGUUCUGUAAAGAAAGGAGCUUUGGCUCCGCCUUGGGAUGGGCCCGCGUCCCAUUAGCUUGUUGGUGAGGUAAAAGCCCACCAAGGCGAUGAUGGGUAGCCGGCCUGAGAGGGUGAACGGCCACACUGGGACUGAGAUACGGCCCAGACUCCUACGGGAGGCAGCAGCUAAGAAUAUUCCGCAAUGGACGAAAGUCUGACGGAGCGACGCCGCGUGGAUGACGAAGGCCGUGAGGUUGUAAAAUCCUUUUAUUGCUGAAGAAUAAACGGGGGAGGGAAUGCCUCCGUGAUGACGUUAGGCAAUGAAUAAGCCCCGGC
This 374-nucleotide ribosomal RNA is filed under the name uncultured Treponema clone RFS26p. RNAcentral's name for it is "bacterial SSU rRNA". It matches the Rfam family "Bacterial small subunit ribosomal RNA", at positions 134 to 497 of the family's 1533-position model. Lineage: Bacteria; Pseudomonadati; Spirochaetota; Spirochaetia; Treponematales; Treponemataceae. The record is from RNAcentral.